AUGAACGCUGGCGGCGUGCUUAACACAUGCAAGUCGAACGAAGCACUUUAUUUGAUUUCCUUCGGGACUGAUUAUUUUGUGACUGAGCGGCGGACGGGUGAGUAACGCGUGGGUAACCUGCCUUGUACAGGGGGAUAACAGUUGGAAACGGCUGCUAAUACCGCAUAAGCGCACAGCAUCGCAUGAUGCAGUGUGAAAAACUCCGGUGGUAUAAGAUGGACCCGCGUUGGAUUAGCUAGUUGGUGAGGUAACGGCCCACCAAGGCGACGAUCCAUAGCCGACCUGAGAGGGUGACCGGCCACAUUGGGACUGAGACACGGCCCAAACUCCUACGGGAGGCAGCAGUGGGGAAUAUUGCACAAUGGGCGAAAGCCUGAUGCAGCGACGCCGCGUGAGCGAAGAAGUAUUUCGGUAUGUAAAGCUCUAUCAGCAGGGAAGAUAAUGACGGUACCUGACUAAGAAGCACCGGCUAAAUACGUG
RNAcentral lists this ribosomal RNA (480 nucleotides) under uncultured bacterium. Its description in RNAcentral is "partial 16S ribosomal RNA". It matches the Rfam family "Bacterial small subunit ribosomal RNA", at positions 29 to 507 of the family's 1533-position model. The record is from RNAcentral.